UAGGGAAUUUUCCGCAAUGGGCGAAAGCCUGACGGAGCAACGCCGCGUGAGUGAGGACGGCCUUCGGGUUGUAAAACUCUGUUCUUGAGGAAGAAUUCCUUCCAGGCGAACAGCCUGGAAGGUUGACGGUACUCAAGGAGAAAGCCCCGGCUAACUACGUGCCAGCAGCCGCGGUAAUACGUAGGGGGCGAGCGUUAUCCGGAAUUAUUGGGCGUAAAGCGCGCGCAGGCGGCUGAUUAAGUCAGGUGUGAAAGGCUGCGGCUCAACCGCAGAGCGGCACCUGAAACUGGUCAGCUUGAGUGCAGGAGAGGGGAGCGGAAUUCCCGGUGUAGCGGUGGAAUGCGUAGAGAUCGGGAGGAACACCAGUGGCGAAGGCGGCUCUCUGGCCUGUAACUGACGCUGAGGCGCGAAAGCGUGGGGAGCAAACA
Molecule: ribosomal RNA, 428 nt
Filed under: uncultured bacterium
Lineage: Bacteria
Also listed under: 2 other names
Description: partial 16S ribosomal RNA
Rfam family: Bacterial small subunit ribosomal RNA
Source: RNAcentral